CCUACGGUCUGCAGCAGUGGGGAAUAUUGGACAAUGGGCGAAAGCCUGAUCCAGCCAUGCCGCGUGUGUGAAGAAGGCCUUCGGGUUGUAAAGCACUUUCAGUGGGGAAGAAAGCCUUGGGGCUAAUACCCUCGAGGAAGGACAUCACCCACAGAAGAAGCACCGGCUAACUCCGUGCCAGCAGCCGCGGUAAUACGGCGGGUGCGAGCGUUAAUCGGAAUUACUGGGCGUAAAGCGCGCGUAGGCGGUCUGAUAAGCCGGUUGUGAAAGCCCCGGGCUCAACCUGGGAACGGCAUCCGGAACUGUCAGGCUAGAGUGCAGGAGAGGAAGGUAGAAUUCCCGGUGUAGCGGUGAAAUGCGUAGAGAUCGGGAGGAAUACCAGUGGCGAAGGCGGCCUUCUGGACUGACACUGACGCUGAGGUGCGAAAGCGUGGGUAGCAAACAGGAUUAGAUACCCCAGUAGUC
This 465-nucleotide ribosomal RNA is filed under the name Vreelandella stevensii. RNAcentral describes it as "partial 16S ribosomal RNA". It matches the Rfam family "Bacterial small subunit ribosomal RNA", at positions 338 to 795 of the family's 1533-position model. Lineage: Bacteria; Pseudomonadati; Pseudomonadota; Gammaproteobacteria; Oceanospirillales; Halomonadaceae. The record is from RNAcentral.